AUGGCGCAUUUCUGGUGGGGAGACGAGGAGAACCAGAGGAAGAUGCAUUGGAUGGCCUGGUGGAAAAUGCGCGUCCCUAAAAAUCAAAGAGGGAUGGGAUUUCAUUAUAUUCACUGUUUCAACUUGGCAAUGCUUGCCAAACAGGCGUGGCGCCUUCUUGGGAAUCCUAAUUCUUUGUGUGCUAUUAUUCUGAGGGCCGAGUACUAUCCUAAUGGCGAUUUGUUGAACACUAAGUUAAAGAAAGGCUCUUCUUUUACCUGGCAAAGUAUUAUGGAAGGCGUGAAUUAUGUAAAACAUGGUUAUAUUUGGCGAGUGAGGAAUGGACAUAAUAUCAAUAUUUGGGAAGACGCUUGGAUUCCAAAUUGUGCCAUAGGAAAAAAUUACGUCGAAGGGGGGAGAACUAUUAUCUAA
This 411-nucleotide ribosomal RNA is filed under the name Triticum aestivum (bread wheat). Its description in RNAcentral is "partial small subunit ribosomal RNA". Lineage: Eukaryota; Viridiplantae; Streptophyta; Magnoliopsida; Poales; Poaceae. The record is from RNAcentral.